GACGAACGCUGGCGGCGUGCUUAACACAUGCAAGUCGAACGGAAACGCCCUGCUUUCGUGGGGUGCUCGAGUGGCGAACGGGUGCGUAACACGUAUGCAACCUGCCCUUGACUUUGGGAUAACUUCAGGAAACUGGGCCUAAUACCGUAUAGGAGCUCCUGCUCCAUGGUGGGGGUUGGAAAGUUUCGGCGGUUGGGGAUGGACUCGCGGCUGAUUAGCUAGUUGGUGGGGGAGAGGCUUACCAAGGCUUUGACCGGUAGCUGGCCUGAGAGGGUGGUCGGCCACACUGGAACUGAGACACGGGCCAGACUCCGACGGGAGGCAGCAGUGGGGAAUAGUGGACAAUGGGCGCAAGCCUGAUCCAGCCAUACCGCGUGGGUGAAGAAGGCCUUCGGGUUGUAAAGCCCUUUUGGUGGGAAAGAAAAGCAGCAGGUUAAUACCCCGCUGUUCUGACGGUACCCAAAGAAUAAGCACCGGCGAACUUCG
Molecule: ribosomal RNA, 486 nt
Filed under: uncultured bacterium
Lineage: Bacteria
Description: partial 16S ribosomal RNA
Rfam family: Bacterial small subunit ribosomal RNA
Source: RNAcentral